RNAcentral lists this ribosomal RNA (425 nucleotides) under uncultured bacterium. RNAcentral's name for it is "partial 16S ribosomal RNA". It matches the Rfam family "Bacterial small subunit ribosomal RNA", at positions 354 to 796 of the family's 1533-position model. The record is from RNAcentral.
GUGGGGAAUAUUGGACAAUGGGCGCAAGCCUGAUCCAGCCAUGCCGCGUGAGUGAUGAAGGCCCUAGGGUUGUAAAGCUCUUUCACCGGUGAAGAUAAUGACGGUAACCGGAGAAGAAGCCCCGGCUAACUUCGUGCCAGCAGCCGCGGUAAUACGAAGGGGGCUAGCGUUGUUCGGAAUUACUUGGCGUAAAGCGUACGUAGGCGGGUAUUUAAGUCAGGGGUGAAAUCCCGGAGAUCAACUCCGGAACUGCCUUUGAGACUGGGUACCUAGAGUAUGGAAGAGGUACGUGGAAUUCCGAGUGGAGAGGUGCAAUUCGUAGAUAUUCGGAGGAACACCAGUGGCGAAGGCGGCUUACUGGUCCAUUACUGACGCUGAGGUGCGAAAGCGUGGGGAGCAAACAGGAUUAGAUACCCCAGUAGUCC